Molecule: ribosomal RNA, 458 nt
Filed under: uncultured bacterium
Lineage: Bacteria
Description: bacterial SSU rRNA
Rfam family: Bacterial small subunit ribosomal RNA
Source: RNAcentral
UUACGGGAGGCAGCAGUGGGGAAUAUUGGUCAAUGGGCGAGAGCCUGAACCAGCCAUCCCGCGUGCAGGAUGACGGCCCUAUGGGUUGUAAACUGCUUUUCUGCUCCAAGAAACCUGAUUACGUGUAAUCAGUUGACGGUAGAGUAGGAAUAAGCAUCGGCUAACUCCGUGCCAGCAGCCGCGGUAAUACGGAGGAUGCAAGCGUUAUCCGGAUUCAUUGGGUUUAAAGGGUGCGCAGGUGGGAAUGUAAGUCAGUGGUGAAAUACUGCCGCUUAACGGUAGAGCUGCCAUUGAUACUGCGUUUCUUGAGUAUGGUUGAGGUAGGUGGAAUGUGUUGUGUAGCGGUGAAAUGCAUAGAUAUGACACAGAACGCCGAUUGCGAAGGCAACUUACUAAGCCAUUACUGACGCUGAGGCACGAAAGCGUGGGUAGCGAACAGGAUUAGAUACCCCGGUAGC